GAUGAACGCUGGCGGCGUGCCUAAUACAUGCAAGUCGAGCGAACGGACGAGAAGCUUGCUUCUCUGAUGUUAGCGGCGGACGGGUGAGUAACACGUGGAUAACCUACCUAUAAGACUGGGAUAACUUCGGGAAACCGGGGCUAAUACCGGAUAAUAUUUUGAACCGCAUGGUUCAAAAGUGAAAGACGGUCUUGCUGUCACUUAUAGGUGGAUCCGCGCUGCAUUAGCUAGUUGGUAAGGUAACGGCUUACCAAGGCAACGAUGCAUAGCCGACCUGAGAGGGUGAUCGGCCACACUGGACCUGAGACACGGUCCAGACUCCUACGGGAGGCAGCAGUAGGGAAUCUUCCGCAAGGGGCGAAAGCCUGACGGAGCGACGCCGCGUGAGUGAUGAAGGUCUUCGGAUCGUAAAACUCUGUUAUUAGGAGAGAACAUAUGUGUAAGUAACUGUGCACAUCUUGACGGUACCUAAUCAGAAAGCCACGGCUAACUACGUG
RNAcentral lists this ribosomal RNA (497 nucleotides) under uncultured bacterium. RNAcentral's name for it is "partial 16S ribosomal RNA". It matches the Rfam family "Bacterial small subunit ribosomal RNA", at positions 28 to 507 of the family's 1533-position model. The record is from RNAcentral.